Molecule: ribosomal RNA, 436 nt
Filed under: uncultured Anaerostipes sp.
Lineage: Bacteria; Bacillati; Bacillota; Clostridia; Lachnospirales; Lachnospiraceae
Description: partial 16S ribosomal RNA
Rfam family: Bacterial small subunit ribosomal RNA
Source: RNAcentral
ACGGGAGGCAGCAGUGGGGAAUAUUGCGCAAUGGAGGAAACUCUGACGCAGCGACGCCGUGUGAAGGAUGAAGGCCUUCGGGUUGUAAACUUAUAUCGAUUGUGAAAAGCAAGGAUGGUAGCAAAGUAAGAAGCUCCGGCUAACUACGUGCCAGCAGCCGCGGUAAUACGUAGGGAGCAAGCGUUAUCCGGAAUGAUUGGGUGUAAAGGGUGAGUAGGCGGCCUGACAAAGUCACAUAUUAAAUACUACAGCUUAACUGUGGCAUGGUAUGAGAAACUAGCAGGCUAGAGUGCAGGAGAGGUAAGCGGAAUUCCAAGUGUAGCGGUGAAAUGCGUAGAUAUUUGGAAGAACAUCAGUGGCGAAGGCGGCUUACUGGACUGUAACAGACGCUGAGGCACGAAAGCGUGGGGAGCAAACAGGAUUAGAUACCCUGGUA